AAGAAGGCCUUCGGGUUGUAAAGCUCUUUCGCAAGGGAAGAAAACUUAUGAUCGAAUAAAUCAUGAGGUUGACGGUACCUUGAUAANAAGCACCGGCUAACUACGUGCCAGCAGCCGCGGUAAUACGUAGGGUGCGAGCGUUAAUCGGAAUUACUGGGCGUAAAGCGUGCGCAGGCGGUUUUGUAAGUCGGAUGUNAAAUCCCCGGGCUCAACCUGGGAACUGCGUUCGAAACUGCAAGGCUAGAGUGUGUCAGAGGGGGGUAGAAUUCCACGUGUAGCAGUGAAAUGCGUAUAGAUGUGGAGGAAUACCAAUGGCGAAGGCAGCCCCCUGGGAUAACACUGACGCUCAUGCACGAAAGCGUGGGGAGCAAACAGGAUUAGAUACCCUGGUAGUCCACGCCCUAANCGAUGUCAACUAGUUGUUGGUAGUAGUAAAAUCUAUGAGUAACGUA
RNAcentral lists this ribosomal RNA (452 nucleotides) under beta proteobacterium Z18. Its description in RNAcentral is "bacterial SSU rRNA". It matches the Rfam family "Bacterial small subunit ribosomal RNA", at positions 408 to 850 of the family's 1533-position model. Lineage: Bacteria; Pseudomonadati; Pseudomonadota; Betaproteobacteria. The record is from RNAcentral.